RNAcentral lists this long non-coding RNA (340 nucleotides) under Cyanistes caeruleus (blue tit). RNAcentral describes it as "lncRNA (ENSCCEG00000017430.1)". The record is from RNAcentral. Lineage: Eukaryota; Metazoa; Chordata; Aves; Passeriformes; Paridae.
GAUGCAGGCUGGCCAAGGUGGGAAAGAAAGGUGGGAAAGCUUUGAAGAGGCCUGAGCAAUGCUAAUGAUGUGAUAGCCCAGGAGUGCAAUGAAGAAUGUUCCUACUUGUGUACGAAAACACAACUCUACAUGGUUUGUGUUUGCCUUUGGGCAUACAAGUGCCGUGGGAAAUGAGCUGCCUUGGACACAGAAGUGUUGCUUGCUUCCUUGUACCCCAUUGUGGAAGCACAGAGUAAAAGGUUUCUGCUUCUGUAAAACAGCACAAGUGUCUGGAAAACCCAUGUGCAGAGACAACAGGACAACAGUGAUCACAAAGAGGGAUGAGGGUCAUUGUAUCUAA